Molecule: long non-coding RNA, 337 nt
Organism: Orcinus orca (killer whale)
Lineage: Eukaryota; Metazoa; Chordata; Mammalia; Artiodactyla; Delphinidae
Exons: 3
Source: RefSeq, a predicted model, not a curated record
CCGGGCUGCCGAGAACAGCGCUCCCCAUUUGAGGCUUUGGUGGGACGCCACAGUCUGAGGGGGACAGAAAGUCUCCCAGCUCUCCUGUUGGAAGGCUCUUGCUCAGUUUAAGCAGUGGUCUUGGGAACCUUGGUCUGGACCAGCUCUCAGCUCCACUAGAAAGCCCACCCUGCAACCUCUUGGGCACAGGACUCUCUCUUUAUUCCAAGCCAGCCUCUUGGAACUAGCAUCUCUACCUCUGGUCAGCAAGCGGGACUGCUCCCCAGAAGCGUGCGCGCGCAGAUCGCCAUCCAGGCCCGAGUCUCGGGAGGCAAAGCCAGGCACUGGCACUGGUCUC